AUUGAACGCUGGCGGCAGGCCUAACACAUGCAAGUCGAACGGUAACAGGAAGCAGCUUGCUGCUUCGCUGACGAGUGGCGGACGGGUGAGUAAUGUCUGGGAAGCUGCCUGAUGGAGGGGGAUAACUACUGGAAACGGUAGCUAAUACCGCAUAAUGUCGCAAGACCAAAGAGGGGGACCUUCGGGCCUCUUGCCAUCGGAUGUGCCCAGAUGGGAUUAGCUUGUUGGUGGGGUAACGGCUCACCAAGGCGACGAUCCCUAGCUGGUCUGAGAGGAUGACCAGCCACACUGGAACUGAGACACGGUCCAGACUCCUACGGGAGGCAGCAGUGGGGAAUAUUGCACAAUGGGCGCAAGCCUGAUGCAGCCAUGCCGCGUGUAUGAAGCAGGCCUUCGGGUUGUAAAGUACUUUCAGCGGGGAGGAAGGGAGUAAAGUUAAUACCUUUGCUCAUUGACGUUACCCGCAGAAGAAGCACCGGCUAACUCCGUG
This 490-nucleotide ribosomal RNA is filed under the name uncultured bacterium. RNAcentral describes it as "partial 16S ribosomal RNA". It matches the Rfam family "Bacterial small subunit ribosomal RNA", at positions 30 to 507 of the family's 1533-position model. The record is from RNAcentral.